Long non-coding RNA from Hippocampus zosterae (dwarf seahorse), 1220 nucleotides. RefSeq lists it as uncharacterized. The transcript has 3 exons. The record is from RefSeq and is a predicted model, not a curated record. Lineage: Eukaryota; Metazoa; Chordata; Actinopteri; Syngnathiformes; Syngnathidae.
CCGUGUGCUGGGGAUCGGGCGGCAAACAAAAACACAAAUGUCAGCCCGGCCGGCCGCUCCCAACUGCAACUUUUUCCGAGCGACGAAGGCGUCGAUUGAAACACAAUCGUUUAUCAUUCCCAGCUCUUCUGAAACUGGACCAGAUAACAACAACAAAAAUGCAUUUUUUUUCCUCAUCGGCUGAAAAUAUUUCCAAUUUAUAAAUCAGAAAACAAUGUCCAUUAAUCUUUCCCCAAAAGUUGUUUUCGAUUUCUACCCCGUUGAUCCCAAAACGGGACCUUCUCAAUUGAGCCGUGUUCCCUUUUUCGGUUUGGUCCAGAAUAUCGCUCGGGAAAUGGCCUGCAAAAUGUUGAUGAGCGAUUUGCAAAGUAAAAGCUGCCCGUCUCAAACGUCUCAUUUCACAAAUCAAAACCUCGUCGGACUGCUUUCACGUCGGACGACCGAUCUUGGCGACAUUUCCUGCAUUUGGAUCAUUUGAAGUAAAACAAUGCGCUUCUCCACGAAUUUGUUCGUCUUGUCAACUGGGGGAUUCAUUUUCACCUCUGGACAAGAAUGAUACGGAAUUGAGCCUGCUUUGUGUCGAACCGGUGAUCGUUAGUCCUCGUUGGCUCCCCCUUGAUCCUAUGAAACGUUGCUUCUCAUUUUGGGGGUGGCGACCUUGCGCUCGUGUGUGCGUCUCCUCAAUACAAACGUCCCAAAUUCACGAACAAGACUCACACGAGGACGAGUGUGGUCUUUUUGCCGUGUUCUUUUCAGAUGAGAUGACGGAAAGCAGGUCACAAUGCCCUGCUUGUGCUCGCCCGAGUUCAAACCCGCGACGCGGAAAGAUUGGAGUCACAAUUGAACAGGCUCGCCCUCCGACGGAAGGGGGCGCCGUUGGGCCACAGCAGCUGCAGACUUGUUGUGACGACCGAGCGCCAGCAGGUACAACAGGCUGUAUCCCACCCACAGAGUUUGCAUCCCCUGCGGACACGAUGGAGGCGCUCUGGACUGGCUGUGGAUGACCAUUAGGAAGCCCGCGUUCAAGGGUUUGGAUGGUCCAGGGGCUCCACGGUCUCCGGUCAAACCGGGAUCACCUGAGCACAUGAAGUCAGGUCGAGCAGAGCCCGGUCCGGUGCUCAUCAGAUGUCCCGCCCACUCGUCCUCCUGCGGCCAAUGAGGAGCCCGUGAUGCUGCGCACAAGGUCAACAUAUCCCAUGUUCUCCGCAUCAGGUCACGUG